This 253-nucleotide ribosomal RNA is filed under the name uncultured bacterium. RNAcentral describes it as "partial 16S ribosomal RNA". It matches the Rfam family "Bacterial small subunit ribosomal RNA", at positions 524 to 776 of the family's 1533-position model. The record is from RNAcentral.
UACGGGGGGGGCAAGCGUUGUUCGGAAUCACUGGGCGUAAAGCGCACGUAGGCGGCUUUCUAAGUCAGGGGUGAAAUCCUGGAGCUCAACUCCAGAACUGCCUUUGAUACUGGAGAGCUUGAGUCCGGAAGAGGUGAGUGGAACUCCGAGUGUAGAGGUGAAAUUCGUAGAUAUUCGGAAGAACACCAGUGGCGAAGGCGGCGCACUGGUCCGGUACUGACGCUGAGGUGCGAAAGCGUGGGGAGCAAACAGG